Molecule: ribosomal RNA, 468 nt
Filed under: uncultured bacterium
Lineage: Bacteria
Description: partial 16S ribosomal RNA
Rfam family: Bacterial small subunit ribosomal RNA
Source: RNAcentral
GACGAACGCUGGCGGCGUGCUUAACACAUGCAAGUCGAACGGAAAGGCCCUGCUUUUGUGGGGUGCUCGAGUGGCGAACGGGUGAGUAACACGUGAGUAACCUGCCCUUGACUGGGGGAUAACUUCAGGAAACUGGGGCUAAUACCGGAUAGGAGCUCCUGCUGCAUGGUGGGGGUUGGAAAGUUUCGGCGGUUGGGGAUGGACUCGCGGCUUAUCAGCUUGUUGGUGGGGUAGUGGCUUACCAAGGCUUUGACGGGUAGCCGGCCUGAGAGGGUGACCGGCCACAUUGGGACUGAGAUACGGACCAGACUGCUACGGGAGGCAGCAGUGGAGAAUAUUGCACAAUGGGCGGAAGCCUGAUGCAGAGACGCCGCGUGCGGGAUGACGGCCUUCGGGUUGUAAACCGCUUUCGCCUGUGACGAAGCGUGAGUGACGGUAAUGGGUAAAGAAGCACCGGCUAACUACGUG